AUGUGGGCACCUGAUAUCUAUGAGGGUUCACCCACCCCGGUUACAGCAUUCCUUUCUAUUGCGCCUAAAAUUUCUAUUUUUGCUAAUAUUUCACGUGUUUCUAUUUAUGGUUCCUAUGGAGCUACAUUGCAACAAAUCUUCUGUUUCUGCAGCAUUGCUUCUAUGAUUUUAGGAGCGCUGGCCGCCAUGGCCCAAACGAAAGUAAAAAGACCUCUAGCUCAUAGUUCAAUUGGACAUGUAGGUUAUAUUCGUACUGGGUUCUCAUGUGGAACCAUAGAAGGAAUUCAAUCACUACUAAUUGGUAUCUUUAUUUAUGCAUUAAUGACGAUAGAUGCAUUCGCCAUAGUUUUAGCAUUACGGCAAACCCGUGUCAAAUAUAUAGCAGAUUUGGGCGCUCUAGCCAAAACGAAUCCUAUUUCGGCUAUAACCUUCUCCAUUACUAUGUUCUCAUACGUAGGAAUACCCCCGUUAGCCGGCUUUUGUAGCAAAUUCUAUUUGUUCUUCGCC
Non-coding RNA from Vicia faba (fava bean), 507 nucleotides. The record is from the annotation of a GenBank genome assembly. NCBI's taxonomy places the organism in Eukaryota, Viridiplantae, Streptophyta, Magnoliopsida, Fabales, Fabaceae.